GGAAGGGUGGCAGAGUGGCCGAAUGUACCGGUCUUGAAAACCGGAGUCUCCUUACGGGGACCGUGGGUUCGAAUCCCACCCCUUCCG
Molecule: transfer RNA, 87 nt
Filed under: Patescibacteria group bacterium
Lineage: Bacteria
Description: tRNA-Ser
Rfam family: tRNA
About the family: Transfer RNA (tRNA) molecules are approximately 80 nucleotides in length.
Source: RNAcentral